Helianthus annuus (common sunflower) is the source of this 1741-nucleotide long non-coding RNA. RefSeq lists it as uncharacterized. The transcript is spliced from 5 exons. Lineage: Eukaryota; Viridiplantae; Streptophyta; Magnoliopsida; Asterales; Asteraceae. The record is from RefSeq and is a predicted model, not a curated record.
UUGAAAUUUAAGAGUUUUUGGAUCAACAUGGUGUGCAAAGUACAAACAACAAGCUUCCGAAAUGUAUCCCGCUCAAAUCCGUCUCUCUGACUCAAGAAUUCCCUUCAAAUUUUUUUGAAUUGCCAAAUGUCUGAUGUUGCAGUACCUUUUUCUUGGCUGCCAGCUUUACUUUUCUAUCAUUUCAAAUUCAAAAACAAAAAGAAUCUGAUAUCUCCCACCAUAAUUCACUCCCCCUUUCUCUCUCUACAAAACCCAGUUGUCUCUACAAACGUUCAUCAUUCUAUUCAAAUGUAGGGGGUCUCGAAGACGAUGACAGAGGGCUUGGUUGGUUGCCAUAUUGGUGUAACAAGAUGACAGUGAGGAAUUUCGGCUGAGCCAAACUUCCGGCGACCUAGACUAGGGUUCCAAUCAACUUCCGUGAGCAGUUAGGGAUUUUGGCGAGUAGAUUAGGGUUCCGGCGAAACCCUUUCACUACAUGUUGUCACCUCUGUCGACAAUGAACUAAUUGAAGACCUGCAGUGGUGAAAGUUCUUAGACUGGAUGGUUUGUAUAUGAUUUACAGAUCUUUGUGGAAUGCAGGAGAUGGGGGUUGUCACCAGGAGAGGAUAAAAAAGAUCUAUUGCUGAUGCAUUUGUGAAUUUUAAGGCACUUAUAUAAUGCAGAAGUUCUAAGGCGCGUAUUAGCAGCAUAAAGGAAUCUAUUGCUGAUGCAUUUGUGAGUUUUUUUGUUGCUAAAUUUCAAACAUUUCAAUCAUAUUGAUUCAUAUGGCUCAAAGUUUAACCAGAUUUAGCUAAAUAUUGAGGAGAUGAGUUGCAUAUAUGUUUGUGAAUUUUUUAGUUAAAUGUCUAAAACUGAAACAGUUAAUGAAAGGAUCAUCUUUUGUGUAUUUUAUAAAGAAGGGCUGUUCUGAAUACUAAUUAUGUUAUCGAUAAUAAUUAAUAUGAACAAAGAACAAUAUGUUUGGAGGUCCACCCUACCCAAACCAUUUAAACCCCUUAUUUUUUACUCUUUUGAUCCUUUUGCACGGAGGGAAAAUCCUCACAGGUGGUACAGUUAUAAAGUCCAAAGGAAACUUCGUACAACCCUCAUUAAUUGAGUUCUCACUGAGUGCCAACGUUGUGAAAGAACUUCUUGGUCCUGUCCUAUAUGUGCUGAAACUCACAGACCUAUAUAUGCUGAAACUCAGUCAGUUAUGAAACUCAUAGCCAGUCAAUAAUGGAAUCCGAUCUCUACCGGGGUUAACCUGGUGGGGUCUUUUAUUUCGAUAGCUGGUUUUCUUAUUUGUAAUUUUGUUUCUUUGUACUUUGGGAGUCUAGCUACUGUCCAGGCUCUUUGUUUCUAAUGAUAAUUUGCUUUGACUGUUCUAAAAAAUACACAUUCGAUAAUGUGUGCCCAAACUCAUUAAUACGAACCAAUUGAGAUUUGUUUUUUCUCCUUUGAAUUUAUGCUUAAAGUCUGCUUUUUGUGUGUAGAAGCUUCACAAAUUAGGCUAGCUAAACAAAUCAUUUUGGUCUUCAAAGGGCAGAAGACAUUGAUCGAUAGAGUGAUAGAGUGCUGAGAAACAUUAUUUCUUCUCUGUUCAACUGGAUUUCUCGUAGGACCAAUCAUAUGGAAACUUGCUGGAACUCUUGGUCCUCGAAUCUCCUUUGUAACUUGUAAUAUGCCAUAGUUGUUCUUUGUUUUGUUCGUUUGUAUCCAACAGCUCUUUGCUGGAGGCGUUUCUUUCGCCUUGUUUUAAUGA